UCCUAUAGGCGGUGCGGGCAGGAGGAGGUGCGGCGCGGCUUAUGUAGGCGAGGGGGAGGCGUGGUUGUCGCUGUCGAAUAGGACGUGGCCGGGAGGCUCACCGGUCGGAAGGAAGAAAAGCAGAGGUAGAAGAGAGAGCUGUGAGACAAAGCGCAUUCCGGGAUUUUACGCUUUCGCUGCGGGGAGACGGGAAGCGGGCGCGCGCAGAAGAAUGCUGGGCGGCUGGGCCGACUGGGCUGCGGGGCUGCGCGGGGGAAGGGGGCCGCGAGGCCUGCGCUGCUGGCCGGCUUGCUCGCGCGCGCGGGAGGAAGGCGGGCCGAGGCGGCUAGGCCGGCUCGGGCCAAGUGAGCAGGUAAGGUUUUUGUUUUUGUUUUUCCCUUUUCUAUUUUCUGUUUUUGCAAAUGCUUUUGGAUUCAGAUUUCAAAUACCAUUUUGAAAAGCUGAGAAGUAGUAGAAUUCAAAUAUGGUACUAGUAUUUGGAAAUAUUCAAAUGGGGUUUAAGGUUUAAGACAAAACCCAUUUGAAUCUCAUUUGAAAAAUAGAGGGAAAAUAAUUCAAACUCAAAGGAGAGUGAUUCAUAUUUGAAUCUUCUAACAAAAAAAAACACAACAAGAAUUCAAACCACAAUUUGAGAUGCAAAUUUAAAACUCAUGUGACACAAAUAAUAGACAUGGCAUGGCAUGGAUGCAAAUGUAAUUGUCAUGCAGCAUUUAAAUAAAUUACAAAC
RNAcentral lists this long non-coding RNA (727 nucleotides) under Brachypodium distachyon (stiff brome). RNAcentral describes it as "long non-coding RNA (BDIS_LNC002977)". The record is from RNAcentral. Lineage: Eukaryota; Viridiplantae; Streptophyta; Magnoliopsida; Poales; Poaceae.